Molecule: long non-coding RNA, 931 nt
Organism: Zea mays
Lineage: Eukaryota; Viridiplantae; Streptophyta; Magnoliopsida; Poales; Poaceae
Exons: 2
Source: RefSeq, a predicted model, not a curated record
CAUGCGGUGUCUAUUCUAUUGGCCCGGAGGGCGGAGGUGGAGCCUGGGCCUGCCUGGUCGGCUGGACUCUGGAGCGGGGCCUGGCAUGACAUGAUUCAGGACUGGUGUUGGUGACCGUCUGAACCGUGCUUCUAGAAGAGGAGGAAGGGCCGAAGGGGGCACGCACGGGUCGACGCCGGCGUCGAGGGGGCCUUCUCAAAGUCGCAGGGUGAGCAACGGUGGCAGUUCUUAUUAGCACAGACUUUUGAACUUGAUUGGGAGAAGAAGAAGAAGCCGUUCAAACUUCAACUACCAAGGCCAGGAGCGAGGAAUCGGGGUACAUCAUUUGCAGGGUUAGUAGGUUGCUUACGACCAUAUCCACCUAAGUUAUAGGUCACCCCCCACAUGUUUGUGGAGUUGUUUUUAUAUAUUUAUUAAGCUACUACUUCUCAUUGUCACCCGGCGUGACACAGCUAAACACAAUAGUAUUGCUGACCGCGGAAGCGGAUUGUUUUCGGACUGCUACAACUGUAAUGCAUAUAGACAAAAUACACUAUAAAGAUAGUAGAAGUGGUACGGAUCAAAGUCAAACGAAUAGGCCACCCAUAGGGUCAUGAGUAAAACUGAAAUAAUAUCAGUCUCGAGAAUACUAUGAAAUUAAAGCGUAUAAUGAUCUUCACAAAAUCAGCUUUGCAGUCAGCAAUUCUUCCUUUUACUGAACUUCCUGCAUGACAAGUACAACUACAUUCUUCAUUUUUUUUAUUCAACUAUCCAAAAACGUUGCAAGGAAGACAUCUGAAGAUUGUGAAGGAAAUACAUAAUAUCGUUCCUUCAGGCACGAAAAGGCAUUUUUGUGUAAAACAUCUCGAUAUGACUACUUUCGGUUGAAAUAACUGAACACGUAGAUCUCAUUUUGCUUUGGCGUCAGGGGAUAAACAUUAAGAGCUCCUGA